RNAcentral lists this long non-coding RNA (654 nucleotides) under Linum usitatissimum (flax). Its description in RNAcentral is "long non-coding RNA (LUSI_LNC005803)". The record is from RNAcentral. Lineage: Eukaryota; Viridiplantae; Streptophyta; Magnoliopsida; Malpighiales; Linaceae.
UAAUUACCAGCAUCCUAAUCCACAGUAUAUAAAUCAACCAAAUCUAAACUCUCAAUCCACACAUCUAAAACACUUACACAACUAUUAGAACUGCAAAGCUCUAUUGAGAGACAUGGAUAAGUCAUCUAUGAAGCUUGUUUUUUUGGUUGUGUUGUUGAUUUUCAUCGCAGGUACUUAGUUUUUUUUCUUAGAAUACUAUCGCGUGAAUACGAUUUUAAGAAUAUUUGAUAAAUAUGAUUUGACGAUGCAAUUGUUAUAGGUGAGACUUCGAACAUCGGAGCAGAAGGAAGCAGAGUCGACCAACAGGGCACAACAUGCCAAGUCUGCCAUCCACCAUGCGCGUGCUUGAAUGGAAGUUGCUUGUGCCCCAAGCUCGAUUCGCCACCGGAAUUUGGGUGUACUCCUAAGUCAUGUAAACCACCAUGUUACUGCUUUGAUCUUAACUGCAGAUGUCCCUGAACCCCUCAGGAUGCAAGCUUUGAUCUUUACUUGUUUGUCUAGCUAGGUUAUCAAAUAAACUCUUAUCUAUUUUCUCAUUAUCAUCAAUAAAAUGAAAAUGUAGUUUUCUUAAUGACGAAUUCGAAUCAGAUCAGACAGUCUGGCCGAUUCGGUCCGGUUCUGUUUCAGUUACGGACAGUUCAUUUAUAAAGAUCA